Molecule: transfer-messenger RNA, 357 nt
Filed under: Phycisphaerae bacterium
Lineage: Bacteria; Pseudomonadati; Planctomycetota; Phycisphaerae
Also listed under: 1 other name
Rfam family: transfer-messenger RNA
About the family: Bacterial tmRNA, also known as 10Sa RNA or SsrA, is named for its dual tRNA and mRNA-like properties. Its role is to liberate the mRNA from a stalled ribosome.
Source: RNAcentral
GGGGGCGAACGGCAUCGACCGGAUCGCGGAUGGAUAAGAUGCGUGCCCAGGACGCCGGUUGGCCUGGUUAAUCAUCCGGUACCUAAUUUCUAAAUGGCAACUACAACUAUGCCAUGGCUGCGUAAAUAACGCGGCCCGUCCUGUCGGACUGCGCCUGCGGGUCUGACAAGGGCGUCAACAAGUGGGCUGGCUUCGUCGGUCGUCCGGGCCGACGGAGUGAGAAACACCGGACUAGCCGAUCGCAGAGCUUGUGGCUUGGCGCUGCGUGACGCGAAAUCUCCAAUAGGGCCACUACGCACGUAGAUGCUUGUCCUGAAACAUCUCGGGACGGGGGUUCGAAUCCCCCCGCCUCCACUG